This is a non-coding RNA of Acanthosepion pharaonis, 93 nucleotides long. Lineage: Eukaryota; Metazoa; Mollusca; Cephalopoda; Sepiida; Sepiidae. The record is from the annotation of a GenBank genome assembly.
GGUCAGAUCGCAAUGAAACAUGGGUUCUCAUUUGAUCUCCAAAGUUAAGCAGGGUUGAGCCCAGUCAGUACUUAAUGGGAGACUACUUGGGUA